Molecule: transfer RNA, 73 nt
Filed under: Fusarium culmorum CS7071
Lineage: Eukaryota; Fungi; Ascomycota; Sordariomycetes; Hypocreales; Nectriaceae
Source: RNAcentral
CUAAAAAUAUCGAAGAAAGAGUAGGCAGGAGUUCCAAAAGCUCCACUAGAUUAUUCCUACGAAUAUUUUUAGU